RNAcentral lists this ribosomal RNA (232 nucleotides) under uncultured bacterium. Its description in RNAcentral is "partial 16S ribosomal RNA". It matches the Rfam family "Bacterial small subunit ribosomal RNA", at positions 99 to 334 of the family's 1533-position model. The record is from RNAcentral.
CGGACGGGUGAGUAAUGUCUGGGAAACUGCCUGAUGGAGGGGGAUAACUACUGGAAACGGUAGCUAAUACCGCAUAACGUCGCAAGACCAAAGAGGGGGACCUUAGGGCCUCUUGCCAUCGGAUGUGCCCAGAUGGGAUUAGCUAGUUGGUGAGGUAACGGCUCACCAAGGCCACGAUGCAUAGCCGACCUGAGAGGGUGAUCGGCCACACUGGGACUGAGACACGGUCCAG